RNAcentral lists this ribosomal RNA (505 nucleotides) under uncultured bacterium. RNAcentral's name for it is "partial 16S ribosomal RNA". It matches the Rfam family "Bacterial small subunit ribosomal RNA", at positions 28 to 507 of the family's 1533-position model. The record is from RNAcentral.
GACGAACGCUGGCGGCGUGCCUAAUACAUGCAAGUAGAACGCACAGUUUAUACCGUAGCUUGCUACACCAUAAACUGUGAGUUGCGAACGGGUGAGUAACGCGUAGGUAACCUGCCUGGUAGCGGGGGAUAACUAUUGGAAACGAUAGCUAAUACCGCAUAAUAUUGAUUAUUGCAUGAUAAUUGAUUGAAAGAUGCUAUUGCAUCACUACCAGAUGGACCUGCGUUGUAUUAGCUAGUAGGUGAGGUAACGGCGAACCUAGGCGACGAUACAUAGCCGACCUGAGAGGGUGCUCGGCCACACUGGGACUGGGACACGGCCCAGACUCCUACGAGAGGCAGCAGUAGGGAAUCUUCGGCAAUGGACGAAAGUCUGACCGAGCAACGCCGCGUGAGUGCAGAAGGUUUUCGGAUCGUAAAGCUCUGUUGUAAGAGAAGAACGGGUGUGAGAGUGGAAAGUGCACACUGUGACGGUAUCUUACCAGAAAGGGACGGCUAACUACGUG